Molecule: RNA transcript, 5900 nt
Organism: Phyllopteryx taeniolatus (common seadragon)
Lineage: Eukaryota; Metazoa; Chordata; Actinopteri; Syngnathiformes; Syngnathidae
Gene: pcbp3
Gene name: poly(rC) binding protein 3
Exons: 17
Source: RefSeq, a predicted model, not a curated record
CUGUGUCUGUGAUGUGAGCGACUCUGAGCGUGGAGAUAAGGCGCAAGAGAGAGAGAGCGAAAACGAAAGCGAAGCAACUAGCACUUCUUCUCCCCUUUCCGUCUCCCUGCUCCUUGUCACUCCAUCCUUCUUCCCCUCUCUCGGGCCAGCUUUGACGCAGGACCAGCAACCCCCAACCCCCAACCCCCAUCCCCCCCACCCUCCUACCACCCAGACCGCCCCAGGACCCUUUGACUCUCCUCACUUCUGUCCCACAAACUGCCACUUUAAACAAGAAUCUCCUCUCCUCAUUGUCCCCCGCCCCCAUGGGCCGUGUCGUCUGCAGAACAGCUCAACUUCCCAAAAUACACUGACUCUUGUUCCAUUUUGAACCUGACUGAAGAAAGCAUACCAAAACGUCAGCAUGGGCUUCUGAUCAACUUGAACAAAGGAAGUCUAACAGCUGACGGACUGAGCUGUGUUCAAGUGUGAUCUCUCUGCCUCAACUCUGCUGUCCUUUAUGACCUCGGAAAACAUCACCCACAGACAUUUUAGUGCCUAGCUGGCUGGCACCCCAUCAUAUUCCAUCUCCUUUUGAGGACCCCCAUUCCGGCAUCAUCAUCCGGUCUCACCUUCUCCUGCCAUGGAGUCAACCCAAGUCCAGUCGGAGGGUGGCCUCAAUGUCACCCUCACCAUCCGUCUCCUCAUGCAUGGAAAAGAAGUGGGAAGCAUAAUUGGAAAGAAAGGGGAAACAGUGAAAAAGAUGCGUGAAGAGAGUGGAGCACGAAUCAACAUCUCCGAAGGCAACUGCCCAGAGAGGAUAGUUACCAUCACUGGACCAACAGACACCAUCUUCAAGGCUUUUGCCAUGAUUGCUUAUAAAUUCGAGGAGGAUAUCAUCAAUUCCAUGAGCAAUAGCUCGGCAACCAGCAAGCCUCCAGUCACCUUAAGGCUUGUGGUGCCAGCCAGCCAGUGCGGCUCUCUCAUAGGAAAAGGGGGUUCCAAAAUAAAAGAAAUGAGAGAGUCCACAGGGGCGCAAGUUCAGGUGGCAGGGGACAUGCUCCCCAACUCGACAGAGCGUGCCGUGACAAUCUCCGGGACCCCAGAAGCCAUCAUCCAGUGUGUCAAACAGAUCUGUGUCGUCAUGCUGGAGUCUCCACCCAAAGGUGCCACGAUCCCCUAUCGCCCGAAGCCUGCUUCCACCCCUGUCAUUUUUUCAGGGGGCCAGGCUUACACGAUUCAGGGACAGUAUGCCAUUCCACACCCUGAUCAGCUGACCAAGCUCCACCAGCUGGCUAUGCAGCAAACCCCCUUUACCCCUCUCGGACAGACCACCCCCGCUUUCCCUGGUUUGGAUCCGACUCCCCCGGCCAGCACCCAUGAGCUCACCAUUCCUAAUGAUCUCAUAGGCUGCAUCAUUGGACGCCAAGGAACCAAAAUCAACGAGAUCCGACAAAUGUCGGGGGCACAGAUCAAGAUUGCAAACGCCAUCGAAGGCUCAUCCGAGCGACAGAUCACCAUCACCGGGACGCCUGCUAACAUCAGCCUCGCCCAGUAUCUCAUCAAUGCCAGGUUCAGGGACGUGGCCGCCAUGUGGAAUGACCCCUCGGCAAUGACUACAUCCUGAAGUGGCCUUCCAAAAACUGGCUGUGAUUUCAGACAACUCACAACAAUAAUCAGUGUAUUACCCCACGGAUUUACUUACGUUUGCAUUGUCAUAUAAAGCCUGUUGACAUCUGAAGUCACCGGAAUGGCCACACUCUAAUUUCUACCCAUCUUCCCUCUGUGCAUCACAUGGCAUACCUUGAGAUAAUGUUACUGUACCGUGUUGAUUUACUACUCUGUGUUAGAUCGUCUUGAUAUUUAAGUGAUGUCAACAUUUGCUGUAAAUACAGUAUGCAAUUAUUCACCCCUAUCUGCAAUCACUUUUGUUUGGUCCUUGAAACUGUUUUGUUUUGUAAUUUACUUUCCUUAUAUAACUUUCGUAAUAACCAACUACAUUUUAGAAGUUCUAUUCAGACUUUUUUUGUUCUGGGUUUGCAAUUGAAAAAAAUAUUUUUACUGGAUUCACUGUAUAUAUUAUAAUUUGAAAAAGAAAACAAAGCAUAGGGAUUGUUCUUUUUUGGUUUGUUUGUUUUACCUUUUCUAUUUAGUUUUGCAAACUUUAAAAUGGGUCUGUUUGACCCGCAACAUAACAUGAGGGUUAAAUGACACCUGUCAAGUGGAGACAGAACUCUAAAUGCAUGCCAACAAAGAAUUUGUUCACCCAAUAACACAAAACACUGAGUCAUGUUACUAAUGUUGAAAUAGACGUACAUGAGAAACUGCAAAGACAAGGGCUGGUGUACAUACAGUACAACAUUUAGAGAAUUAGUUCUGGUGUCAAAAGACAAGAUGGCUGGAAGCAAGCAACAGUCAUCUGUGUUUUUAUAUAUUUUCUUAAUUAAGUAUUUGACAGGCGGCAGCAUGGUUGAUGAUUGGUUAGCACAUCUGGCUCACAGUUCUGAGGACCCAAGUUCAAAUCUGGCCCCACCUGUGUGGAGUUUGCAUGUUCUCCCCGAGCCUCCGGUGUCCUCCCACAUCCCAAAACCAUGCGUGGUAGGUGGAUUGAAAACUUGAAAUUGUCCGUAAGUAUGAGUGUGAGUGCGAAUGGUUGUUUGUUUAUAUGUGCCCUGCGAUUGGCUGGCAACCAGUUCAGGGUGUAUCCCGCCUCUUGCCCGGAGUUUUCUGGGAUAGGCUCCAGCACUCCAGCGCCCCGUGUGAGGAUAAGCGGUAUGGAAGAUGGAUGGAUAGAUGGAUAGUAUUUGACAAGCCAUUCAAGAAUAAAAAAUAAAAUACCAGUUGACGCAAGCCUAUGACACGUCUUCUAUACAAGACUACUGUGGAAAAAAAAAAUAUUUCUAACUAGUUUAUUUUUAACAAAUUCAAGUGAAUAUACUGUAGAUCGAAUAAAAGACUGACAUAACAUAUCUAGUAUGUGCUGACUCCAUGAGUGGCUGAAAAAUACAGGUAUAUACAAACAUGCCUAUAGGUUUAAAUCCAUAUUUGGGACUAGACGAUUAAACAGAACACGAACAAUUAAUCGGAUUGAGGUUAUGUUUCACACAGUUGUUAUUGCUACUUUUUAGAAAUCUUUUUAAAUCCCUGAGGCUGGAUUUACAAUGCAGGUCCAAGUGCCCAAUUCCAACUUUAUGUCUACUGUGUAUACAGUUUUUAAAUACACUUUGUAUACUGUAUAAAUAUCAAGUGACACUUUUACGAUAUGAACGUGUUUACAGUCAUACGACUCACAAAAUAACCUGCAUGCUCAGAUCCCUAAAUUUCACGUAAAUAGCUCCACAAGCAUCAACCCCGGGCAGCAACAAGGCAGAAGUAAAGAAUAAUACAUAAAUUAUAAAAAUAUUUAACAUUAUAUACUGUUUCGCUGACCUGGACUAACCUAGAAUGACCAUUACUGGAAAAUAUUUUCCUUAUUUAUUGCUCACUGUAUCUAUAAUGUUGCAUAGUAGUCCAUGCUUUUUCUGUUGUUCAGAUUUACACAAGGUGAUUUUUUUUUUGGGCAUACACGGGUGUAUUAACGUCACCGAUUGAAGAGGUUUAUCCGAUUUGUGCAUUUACUGUAUGUUGCAGCCGCAUUGGCAGACAUCUGAUAACAAUCAAAUUGGUGUCAUACACAUUAUGAGCCAGCCUGAUUCAAAUCUGAAGAUCACUGGCGUUUUUUUCAUGACGCAUAUCCCAACUGUGCCACUUGAGAGAACAAAAAUAAAUAAAUCAGAAUCAGGUCACUUGUACCAUACAGUGUAAAUUCAGUCUUAUACGCCAAGAGAUUAUAUUAUUGCAAUGAUGUAAAGGCCUGUGGCUUUGUCACUGCACUUUUGGCUCAAGUAAUUUGUAGGUUAUUUGUCAUUUUCUCACCUCAAACCCAUAGGGGGCUGCAUGUAGCAUAACAGGAAGUUUCUAUUGUAAAUUCCUCCUUUCGCUUCAAAAAUACUAAACUGCUCUCUGUGUGCGUUAAGGAUGAGACUGCAAUCAGCAGUGAAUUUAAGCUAAAAUUACAAAGGAAGUGACCGUGUUACAGGCGAGAUGCAAUUAAAUGUAGCAGUACGUGUCUCUCAAAAGCGAGUGGUGUGUGAUAAUCUUUUGUCUGGGUAAUUAUCUUUGACUGACAGAGCGAAUGGUAAAGGUGCUGAAGGAACACCUUGGUAACCUUUGUCCCUUUUACACCCACUGCCAUCAGGUCAAGAUCUCUGGGGACAUGUAGAAUAGAAUAGAAGGGAGAUACAGUACAAUGGGUAGCUUUCACUCUACAUUAACCCAGCCAUAAAUUGCACCUUUACAAUGUUUUGUGAGGAUCGUGUUUCAAAGUUCAAGUAAACCUGUGAAAUGCACACAGGUACGGUGUACAUUUUAGGACAUCAUGGCCAGGUUUCAGAUGUGACACUGUCAAGUUGCUUUUAGUUCACCUUAACCCUACAGCAGCAUGUAUAAGCUUAAACGUAACCAGGUGCCAUGAAUGUCUUUGUUUGUUCAUGAAAUUGCACCAUUGACUGGCAAAACAUCAACCAUACUAUCAACAUGGCCUUAGAAAAAAUGCUUCCUUAGAGGAACAGCUUCAAUCGCUAAAUAUGUUAGACAUCCAGUUAGAUGGCAGACAGGUCAUGAUUGUGGCGGAAAGGCCUUAGGCUGGAAGCAAAGACUCUCGAGCAAGCGGGUUAGGACAGUGAUUUCCAACCUUUAUGGAGCAAAGGCAUAUAUUUUACAAUUAGAAAAUCUUACGGCACACCAACAAACAAAAAUGUCACAAAAAGUAGAUGCACAGUAAUUACUGUAUGGAAUUCCUGCCAUCUAAUAGAAGAGCAUUUAUUUGUUCUGUCUGCCUCGCUGGCAUAUAUAGAGGAACAAAGAUACAUUAUUUCUUGUAAAUGAAUAAUUUUUUGAACAGUUAAGUAAAAUUUUAUAAUUUCCCUGAAGAUCGCUCAUGGCACACUAAUGUGCCAUGGCACACUGGUUGGAAAUCACUGGGUUAGGAGGAAUCCGGUGCAGAGUACAGGCAGGCAGGGAACCGGUUCCAAACCGGGAGUGCCAGAUGUGAGUGGGUAACAAAAUGGGAAUAGAAGAUUUACUGGUCAGAACAUAUAGUCACAAUACAAACUAUUAUUGGGAUUAUAAAGUGACUGGAUGCAACGAAUUUAACAAAAGCUGUUGUUUAACUCUGGCAACAUGGUGAAGUCCAAAGCCAGUUUAAGAGCAGGCGGCUACUAAUUAUUAGGAUAAUGUGCAGCAGCUGGUUGACUCCAACACGCCUUUGUCCAAACUUGCAAUCAAUUUGUCAAUCUCAAACUCUCUCUCAAUCUUUCAAUCUCAAACUCUUUCAAUUGUUUGAACUCAAACUCUCUCUCUCGCUCUCUCUCUCUUUCCCCCCUUUCUCUCUUUAGUUAUCUCUCACUCUCUGACUUUCUCUUGCUCUUUCAGAAUGACAGGGGAAAGGGCCAGAGGUCAGGUUGCAGAGACAGCAGACCUGACAAAAUACUUCUGUAGGAGUAAGCCCUAAUCUUAACCCUAACCCUCAAUUCCAUAAACAUUCAAAAUCUAUUGUUGACACCUGGUGAUUGUAAAGCUGAUGUCUGAUACCAGUUGCUUGGCAGAUGUGCUCCUGAGAUCUGUUGUAUUUUUUUCCAUCUUACAACUCAGGGUGUCCCAAAAUGUGCACCGUACACAGGUCGUCUUGACACUUUAUUCAGUGUGACCAGUUUGCAAAGAUCUCUGUUGCCUUUGCUCAUGCUUUCAUGUAUGCCAAGGUUGAUUGCGAAAAUGUGUCAUAUGAUCAUGUUUUUUAACAUCUGUGUGGAUGUCUAUUUAUUGAGGUUGACAUUGGAUUGUUUUGUAAACAGAGAAUAAAGUUUGAGUCCAUUUUUCCUUGA